AAAUAGCUUGUCGUUCAAUACACACUAAGAUUAUUAUCAAACGUCGACUACUUACAAACAUUAAUUACACAAAUCAACAACAAAAACUAGCAGCUUAGUUGAAACCGGCUUCCUCAAACUUCAUCUUGAAUCCUACACAAUCUAUUAAGGUAUGAGCAUUCUAAUGUCUAGUAGAGUACCAUCAAACCCCUCAAGGUCAGCAAUCACAGUUAAUCAAAGUGUCAUGCAUCAAACAACACAAGAUAUAUAAAUUAUGUAAUCAAACCAGAUAUAUAAAUUUGUAUAUGCGGUGAUGCCAUUAACUCACUCCCUUCUAAUUCCACUAACAUACCUUAGGGCAACAAGCAUGCAUGUCCCAUACUACGCAUUUUACCACUGUGGCUCCAAAUACCCUAAAUAUGAACUAGUGCCUAUCCGUCCCUUAACCCAUUUUCUUUUGUUUAUGAAUUUCUCAACUUUCACUUUUUAUUAGAGGCCAUGCUCCCA
RNAcentral lists this long non-coding RNA (486 nucleotides) under Prunus persica (peach). RNAcentral's name for it is "long non-coding RNA (PPER_LNC000911)". Lineage: Eukaryota; Viridiplantae; Streptophyta; Magnoliopsida; Rosales; Rosaceae. The record is from RNAcentral.